AAAAAGCCACAAGCCCCAUGAAGACCCCCGGGAUUCACGGAUCUUGCCUCGAGUCCUCCAGCUUAUUUAUUCUCCUCUCUCUCAGAAGCAAGGCAGAAUUUUUUGGAGGAGUAAGAAUUCUCUCUACGAGAAAUCAAACAAGACCUCAAGGAAAUUUUCAUGUCUUGUAAUCUUUUCCAUUUCUCAAAUUGUAAAGCAAUAUUGUAAACACUUUCUUUAUUUUCUUUCUCUCUACAACGCUUUCGGGAUUCAAGUAGACUUGUAAGAUCUCGAUCUAAUGUAAUUUUAUUUCCUGUAAUUAAAUUCAAAGCUUUAAAUUAUAUUUUCAAUUCUGUCUUUUAUUUUCAGAAGCAUGUACUGCAGGCUGAUCUUCUAUAUCAGAAUCCUGCCAUAAAACCAGUUACUUUCCUCUAAGGCAAAGAGACUAGAUCUCUGUCCUUAGUUGUACCUUCUCUUCUCCCUCCAUUCAAUCAGAAUACUAGUUCUAGGAUCCAUAUCUAGUAUUAUUUGUGAGCCCCUUUUGCGGUAUAUAGGCUGGAAAACAGAACAUGCGAGAUAUUGAUCUGUUCUAAGUCAGAUCUGGUCUCAAAGGCAGACUUAGUUUUGCAUUGAUCUGGUAACAAUGCCACGUACCAAUUUUUAUUGCUUAUUAUUUUGUCUUUAAAUUAAAUGAAAAAAACAAAUGUUACCUUAGUGUCACGGGCCGCUCAAAUUUGCCACCAACGGAGGUUAAAUUGGUGCGCACAUGUACGCUAAGUAAAAGACCGGCCAAAGGUGGAGUGCGCUAAGCAACAGGGUCCGCUCAGAAAUGGACCGCCUCAUAUAAUUAGCAAGUCAUGGUGCAUUUAGCAAGCGGCCAAAGUGAGCAAACCUAGCUCGAUUUUAGAAAUCUCUAUAACUCUCUACAACUUGUAAGUAUCUAGAUAAUUCCACACGUAUGUAUAGCUUGACUUCUCCAAAACUUAGGAGAUUUUUAGGCAAUUUGCGCAAGUUGUGCAAGUGGCAUAAAACUUUCUAGACCUAGGCAAGCCACUCUAUAAAAUAGGGUAUGACACCCACCAUUUUUGUCGACACCACACCACACACUAAGCAACUCCAGCAUCCUUGUCAAGCUUUCUUGUAUUCUCUCUUGUGAGUAAUAAAAUUCUCUUUAACCAUAUUACUUUUUCUUCUUUCUAGCUUUCUCCCAAGCAUUCUUCCUUAGUCAGCUUGAGGAGUUCAAUAGGCUUACUUAACAACUAUUGUGCUAAAAGUUGUUUAAGUAUCGUAAGAGUUACUAUGCAACAAACUCAUCAUGUGACAUUAGUCCAUGCACCUUUUGAAGAAGUAAUUUGAUGGGUCAAACUGCCACUAUAGAUUUACCCAUUAAAUCCCAACCAAAAUAUUAGUACUUUGAGUUGGACUAUUGGUACCCCUUUAAUCUCCUCAUAAAACUUUUUUUUUUUUUACAGUUAUUCUUACUUUAAUUUAAAAAAGUCUAAAAAUAAAACACUCUUCUAUUUUUAACUUAAUUUUUUUAUUGUUAAAAUUUAAAGUAGCAUCUAUUUUUUUUUCUUUUGCAAUCUUAUUAUUACUCUACACAAACAUUUAAAAAUUUUUGGGUAAUAAGUUUUUUAAUGUCAAUCAUUCACGUCAAUUACAUAUAUUUUUAAUAAUAAUUUGAAAGCAAUCUAAAGUUCAUAAAUGUUCAAUCAGUGAGAAAUAGAAAAGGAACAAUAAAUUAUUUUAAAUAUGUUUAAUUUAAUUUUGGUUAGAUAGGAAGUGACAAGUUAAAAAAAAAUGAUUGAUUAUGUAUGUAAGUAAUUUGCAAGGAAAGAAAAUUAAUGUGUUUAAUUAGAUUCAUAUUUAUCCUUAAAUGUAAUUGCACACAAAGUGAGGUUCUGUAAAGACUAUAAAGGGCUGCUAAAAGCUUCUGGCCCAACUUUGUCUUCUUCAAUUUUAAGCAAACUAGUCCCUUUUUGGGCAUAGCCUCACUUCUAAGGAAAUUAAUAAUAAUAAUAAUAAUAAUAAUAUAAUUUAUAUUUUUAAUCACUUCAAUCGCAUAAUAAACUUUAAACUCAGACCACUUAAACAUGAAUUAAGAUACUCUCUCUAUAUAUGGGCUCUCUUGAACUUUGAAAGUCAUGUAGAUUUUUUUUUAUUAAAUGAAAGUGUGUGUUUAAAAUGUAAUUGCUUCAAUAAUUUUAUUAAUAAACCGCGAAUCACCUAUAUAAAUUUUACUUAUGCAAAGUUCCUAUGUUAAAAAGGAGCCUUGAUUCCUUGAACACAUGCGUUGGUGUCAGCAAACUAAGGUAACCUAAAAGAAAAAAGAAAAAUAUCAUUCGUUAUUAUUCUCUAGCAUUUGUGGUUUUAAAAUUAUUGGUGUAAAAUGUUUGAUAAAUACUUAUAAUUUUAAUUUAAAAAUUAAGAUGAUAUUAUACUUUCUCUAUUUUGUCAAAAUAUUAACUCUAUAAAGGAAAAGUCAUAUUUUCCAAACAUCAUUCAAGACGUGCAAGAAGACAGAUUGGGCACAAGAGAUCCUAACUCCAAACAAAGCUUGAAUGUGAAAAAUGAUUUAAAUAAUUUAGACAAUAUAGUUUAAAAUCAUCAUGUUGGCUCUUGCAUUAUCGCAAUUGGCUUGUUUUUACUUGCCCUUUUUGCCAAAUAUACUGCUGAAAAUUACCCAUUUUGGUAGGUUCUCUCCACUUAAAAUUUUAUAAUCAUAAGAUUAAAUAUAUACUAAUAAAUAAGUGGACAUACUCUAUGUCUGCUGUAUGGAGGAACUAUGAUAAGAAUUGUUCUGAUUGUGGGAUCAUUUGCUCGUAUUUUAUUUUCAGCCAAAGUGCUUAGCUGCAGCCUGCUGCUACAAUUGCAUAUAUUCCAUUCUCUAAUCUCACAUCCCAAUUAAAGAACUAAAAUAAUUAUUGCAUUUAAGAAUCUUUAAUUGCUUACUCAACCAGAGAGAUUAUAUAAGUUAACCCAAUUUAGGAAGAAAAAUUAAUGAGGGCUCCCAUCAUUUUCACUCACAAAUCACAAUUCUUUUCAUCUCACCAAACAAACAAAAUAAUUUAAUGCCAUAUUUAAAGGGGACCGAUCAAUGCGGGCUCCUCCAUGAUAUCUUCUUGUCUAUAAGAUUCUCUCUAUUAUUUUGCCUGUGAAUGUGACUUGAUUGUCAUGAACCCAAAUAAACAUUACAGUUUUUUGUGUGUACUUUAAAUUUUAGUGGGAUAUGACUAGGGCUAGGUUAGGUAAAAGGAUAAUAUCUGGGGAUCUUCAACAAGCUUCACCAAUCAAGAAGCUGUUUGUAGACCAAAUUAUUGGGGAUCAGCACCCAGCACAGCCUCAGCUGCUUCAAAAUCAUGAAAACUGAUAGAUUCAUCAUGCAUUUGGAAUCAUGCUUGUUUAACAUCUCUUUGACAGGGGCCUUAGGCCACAUUCACCACACAUUGAGAAAACGCCCAAAAGUACUUUUAAAAAAGCCAAAACCAAAUUACAAGCACAUGUUAAAACAUAAAGGUUUGGAAUCUUUUAGGGUGUGUUUGAAUAAUAAUUAUCUUUUGUCAAAAACCCCAUGGACAAAAGCACGUUCUUUCAUCUAUGUAGCCGUAAGAAACUGCAGUUAGGCCUAACGUCGUAAUCAAUUUGGGUCUGAGUUCAUUUUCCCAUUUAGUCCCUCAAAUUGAGACUUGCAAACCGGGAAUUGUUGGUCUAAAUAUGGGAAAAUAUUCUCCACAGCUUACUCAUCUACCCAUCAAUAAAAGAUAUUAAAACUAGAGAAUCUCAUUAAGAUUUUGAUUAAGAAAGAAUAUGAUAAGUGAUCACAUUAAAUUAAAGGCCCUUUCAAUGUAUUCUCCCCCACUAAAAGAUAAUUUUAGAUCUUGUCUUGUUAUCAUGUACAACAAAAACACAAUAAUUUCUUCAUGGCAUGUUUCUUUCUACUCAUCAUUCUGGUAAAUACAAUAGUGGCAUUACAUACAGAUCAUACAGAAUCAUUCCCGUAACAACUUAUUCUGUAUCUUAACAUAAAAAUAAUUGUAUGCCCGAAGGAACUCAAAUGCCGAUACAUUUUGAACAGGUAGGAUGCAGCAUCAUUACUGAAAGAAGAUGAAGAAAAGGAAAAAAAUAGGAAAAGAGAUGAAGCAGAUUGGGUGAAGAUAUUGUCUCCUAAUUUUCAAAAGUAAAAGCUGAAGUUUGGUCUUGUUCAGUCUCAGAAGAAGAAAUAUUCAAGGUCUAAGUGCAAGAUAAGAAGAACAAUGAGAUCUUUUUGCAGGUUCUAGCCUAAUAUGUCAAGCUAUUGAGAACCAAAAAGGGCAUCAUGAUAACGAAGUACUGGUAAUCGUGUUUAACAGACCUUACCCAUGAACAAGCUCUGACUGGGGAGAGAAAUGAAGUUCCAAGCUAUCUAAGUUAAAAAGAUGGGAAGUUGACAGGCUAAUUCUACCAAAAUUCCAGAAAUAUCUGUCACCAAGGAAACAGAUUAAACUCAAAAGUCAAAACCUUAAAUUCAUGGGAAAAAUUGGAAGUUUUAAAAGCAAAGCAAACAAGGAAAUUAAACAGGAAACUAGAAGCUUUAUGAUAUAGAAAUAGAUGGUCUCAGUUUCUUCCACGAAAACAUGAGCAUUUUAGUACCCUUAUACCAAUUCCGAGAGUAAAUAAAACUCAGAUUCAAUACACAAGGAAAGCUAAUCCUGCAAAAUUUCACAGCCUCUCUCUUUCUCUCAAGAUCCUUCUCCUUUAUAUAUAGUAUAUAAUUAUUGUUAUAUAGUCAUAAAACUUCCUCCCAUGUAUACUUUUAUCUGCAAAAUUCAUGGUGGAUAAACUCUAUACAUCAUUCUUUUCCAGAUUUGUGAAUAUGACUUUUCCAGCUAUAGCCCUCAGAUUUUGCAUCUUCAUCAUCCUCCAUGCUAUCACCUCCAGUAGUAGAGGUCCCUCCAGUGUUUCCAGUUAACUGGAGAGGGCCCUGAGGAGAACCAGAUUGGGAACUGCUCGCCUUUGAGGAGUCACCAUACUGAUCUUGAGACAUCCACAAACUCCCCAAAACAACUGUUGAUUGGUUUGCAGGAGCAGCUGGAACAGCAGGUGACGUUCUACGAGUGUGAAGUCGGUAUUUCUAGAAUGACAAGAAAAAUCUUUUGUCAAUCUCCACAAAAUUCAAAUUUCAUACAUUACAAAUAAGAGCAUAGGAAUUAGAAAGGAACUUCAUAGAAGUCAGUUCCUAACUUAAGCUUCUAAGGUGUUGACUUUGACAUCGCUCAUUCUUCCCAAUAAUCGAACAAGAUGGAAGAACAAUAACUCACCUGCAAAUGACUCUUUACUUCAUCGUUGGUCAAGCCAUCAACUUGCAUAAGUUCUCUAAUCUGCUUUGGAGUGGCAACUGCAACCAAAAUGCUCAAUAGUCAAUAUUAGAUGCUUCAAGAUAAAUGAAUCAAAGAUUAAAAGCCAUCACAACUACUUAAGCCAAGGGAACCAAAGAUACAACAAAAUUGAGUAUCAUGGUUGCUGUAAAGAUUCAUUUGUGUUGUACAAUUUCUUCUAGCCAGGUCUAUAAAUCUACUUGAAGCAUCAUUGAAUCGGAAAACAAUUUCCAAUAUUUGCCAAUUUAAUCUCUGGCCUAAAGGAAUCCAAUCCAACAACUCAACUACAAGAUCAUAGCAACACUACCAUACAUCACAAUCAAAAAAUCAUCUUAACCAAGAAAUUUAGUUCAUCACUGACCUUGUGAGCCUCCAAGUUGCUGCAAGGCACUGACAAACCGGCGGUGCAAUUCUGGUGACCAGCACCUCCUCUGCUUCCUAUUGGUCUGUUGCUGAGGUGGCUGUGGCCCAGUCCUCAAAUUUGACUGUACAUUAGGGGCCGAAGAGGAAACUGAUUUACUACAACUGGUUCUUGAACCAGUAGAACCUGUAUCCUCUCUAGGAUUCUUCAUUCCAGGAGUAACAAGAGACAACCCAUGAACUGGCAACUCCUCUUUGUCAUCCUUUCUCGGGAAAACUGGACAGGUCUUAAACGGCAGAAAUGCCGUUGCUCCAGCCCCAGCUCCAGCCACUGCCCCAGCCCUACUUUUACAGGCCUGGAAUGGAUUCUCUUCUUCAUUUCUCUGCCAUAAAUGAAAAAAACAACCAAAGCAGAAAAACAUCAAAAUCAAUUCUUUCAAACUCUCGCGUUUUUCAUAUUGUUAACUUCGUUUUAGGUUUGUACCUUAAUUUUUAAAUUAAGAUUUUGCUUCGAAUCAAAGAUGGGAUCAUUAGUUGGAUGAUUAUCAUCAGUGUUCCAGAGCUGAACAGAGCUCAUCCAGUUUUUCUUGUUAUCUUUACUAGAGUCUUUUUCUUUUUUGAUUGGUCUCACAUCUUCAUCAUCAUCUUCAGAGUUGUUAUUCUUCAAUGGAAUAAAUUCUUCCAACACUGGUUGCACUUUCUUUGAUGCUCUAGCACAUUGCAUUGACUCCUCCUUCAAUACCAAAAUUGCUACAAAAACAACACAGGUGUAUCAGAAGAAGCUCAAUUGACUUUAUAAAAAAAUCUAAAAUAAAAAUUGAAUUUUUCAACAACUAAAACCAAUCAAAACCAUAACAAACCAAAACACAUCUCUCAAAAACAAUUUUUUAAAACAACCCGAUUAAGGAUUUGAUGUUUAGAAAUAAAGAAGCAAAAAAAAAAUUGAAAGACGAACCAUCGUUCAAGAGGAGCAUGCAAAGAGGAAGCUCGCGUUUAAAGGCAUCGAUCUUUCUCAAUUCAUCUUCUAAUCCCUUGAGAAAGGAAUCAAGCUUGGAAAGUUUCUCAGAAACAUUACCGAUCAUAGAAACUUCCCUGAGAAAAUCAGUGAUCGUUUUUGGCACAAAAUUUGUAGGUCUAAAAUCCAAGCUCAGUUCUGGCGGAACCGAACCCAUUUCUCAAAACUCAAAACUUUUCUCUUAUCCCUUUCCUUAGAAAUCUGAUUUUGUUUCUCCUAUUGUAUGUAUAUGUCGGUUUGUCUGAUAAUGGAUGCUGCAACUGAGGAAGAAAAUAGGAGAGAAUAAGAAAUGGGGAGAUCUCUGUGUAUAUAUAGAGAAAAUAUAUCACACAUAUAUGUAUGUGUAUGUAUAGAUGUACAGAUGAAUAGAUGUAUGUAUGCGGUGAGAUUGAGAGAGAGAGAGAGAGGUGUUUUUGUAUUUUGUAUUUUGUAUUUUGUAUUUUGUUUUGUUGGGUUGUUUGGAGAGAAAGAAAGAGAGAGAAAGAAAGAGAAAAAAAGGAAUAAAAGAAGAAAACGAGCAGAGAGUGGGAAGAGGAAAUUUGGAACGCCCAAAAGAUUCUGUGUCUUGUGAUUUUUGGUCUAUUUACUCUCUCUCGCGUCGUCGCGUCCUUCAUCCGCUGCUCUGAAUUUCCUUUCCUUUUUUUCUUCAACUCGCUCCUCUCCAACUCACCGUUUAGUUUUAGGUCCCCACGCUUUAGUAAUAUUAAAUACUUGACCCUGUACUUUUGCUCAAUUGCUUGCAAAUCCUUAAUAAUAUUAUUUUUAAUAUCAACUAUUCGGGGUGUGACUAUUAUAAAUCUGAAAUAUUUUACAGGAUACUACAUGUUAAAAAAUUGAUACUACUAUGGACGGUGCUCGUGAUUUGGCAGGUUUAGGAGUUAUAGUAGCUCGUGAUUGGUAAAAUAAGUUAUAUCAACAUGCAUUGAUUAUACUAAGAUUAUGGUGCUUAAAUUUACUUUGAGUGGUUGUGUUUGACGCAAGUUUGUUGUUCACUUAUUAUUGAGUUCGACUCUAACAAAGUAGUUCGCUUGAUAUAUUAUAACUCGAUCUUCUAAUGGUACAACUCAUCAAUUAGCAAAAAUUGUUUUAUAAGUUAGUUUUUUUUUGUGAUCUAGUUAGAAGAUAUUUAUCAAUAAGUAUUGACUCUUUAUAAUGUCUAGUGUUUGACUUUUGGAUGAAUGUUUAUUUGACAAAAAAAUAUAUAAGUCUAUAGAUUAACAUAUUUUACGAGUAUACAAAUACAGUUUCAACAAAAUUCAAUGACAAAGACUUGUAUGAAGUGAGUUACAAAAUAUAUACUCAUUUCAUAAUUUUUAAAAAUACUAGGGAUUCGGUUGUUAUCAUAGGAGCACAUUCCCAGUUUAUUACAUUAAAUUCAAAGUAAGUAUAAAAUUUCAUUUAUCCCUUUUAAUUUGUUGGUUCACAUCAAAAUCUCUUCCAUGUAUUAUCAAUAAAAAUUAUAUCAAAUGAAUCAAUUAAUAUUCAUAUUUUUAUAAAUAAUCAAAACUGUGAUUAAUUUGAAAGUAUUUAAAAAAUGUAAUGCAGUAAAAAGUAUUCAGGGUUAGUAUGGAAUAUCUCACAAGUUUCCUUUUAUAAAAAUAGCAAAUAGGUAUUUUGUUUUUUUUUUAGAAUUUAACAGUGUUUUUUCCUUUUCUUCUAAAUUGCUUAACUCGAACUUAACUCAAACGAGGCAGCGAAUUUGACGACUCAUGAAUCGGAAUCUUUUUUUUUUUUUUAUCGUACACGGAGUACAAACUUUUCUUUUUUUUAAUGUCCUUUUCCCAUUUUUUAAUAUAUUUAUAAAAAAAAAGGGAAAUUUGAUUUCUUUAUUAUUUUUGCUUCAUAAGAUUCUCGAGGAUGAAGCUACCGAUUGCCAAAUGUCAUGUUGUAAAUACAAAAAUGUCAAAAGUUAUUGUCCCCUUUUUACCAAAAUGCCCUCCGCUUUUACCAACUGACUAAUCAACCCUAUAUAUAUAUAUUUAAUGGGGUAAGCAUCUAAAUCAUUGUAUCUUGAAUGGGUCAAUUGAGGUAAUCCAACAGAUAAUAUUAAAUGGAAAGGUGACAUUGCAGUCAAAUGAAGGAAACUAGUUUAAUCUUAAUAAAGCAAACUUUGGGGCUUGGCUUGUCUAGUGAGAUAGGUCAAGAAUCAUUUUAAGUUUUUUUUUGAAGCAAUAAGGGCCAUCUAAUUGGAAUGUUUUAGGGUUAGGCUUUGUUCACUGGGAUUCCAACACGUGUAUUUUACCAUUUCUUUUUAACUUAAUUCUUGUUCACCAUCUGCCUUAAGAUUCUUCUUUUUUCUUUCUUGAAAUGCUUGAUCUUUUGAUUCCAAAUUUCAAAGGGAAUCCCCCCCAUUUUCUAAUUAGCCUUUUGGGUUAGUGGUUAGAUUAGAAAAUAUCCACUUUUGUUGAUUCCGUAACCCUUGUUUCUUUGUGGUUAUUCUUUUAUACCUAAAAAGGUACACACAGUCCACCUAAGGACCAUUUAUUAAUUAGGAUUCUUGCAAAUUUUGUGAUUAUUUUAAUCGCGACCGUCCACACGCCAUUUAAAUAUCUGAAUUUGGUGGAAAAUUUGCUGGUUAAUUAGGAUUAUUAUAUGACCAUAGAAGUACAUAACCACAUCUCAUUUACAUCCAAUUAGAUGAAUGAGACUUGGCUUAAUUAGUGUUUUUAUAUUGCAGUUCAUGUGUUUAAAUUUUAAAUCCUGUAGGUGCCAUAUUUCAAAGACAGCAAAUCAUGCCACGUGUCUGUCCUUUCAGAUAAAAGAAGAUAUUUCAGGGUAAUAAUACCCUAACUAUUCCAGAGGAAUAGCACUUAAGGAAAAAUUCUUACAGAGCUCGUAAAAAUGGCAAGAGGGAAAAUUAUUUUCUCAAUCCAUUGGUCUAAGGAAAUCAUGCCCUAAGUUUAUAAUCACAAGAAAAUACGCACGUGUGAAAUAAUUUCCUACGACCAAAUUCACUUCCACGAGUACAGAAUUGAUAGUCAUGCCAUUAGGUUGAGGAUUCAAAACAAUACCUUAAAUCCACAUCACUCAUCGUCUAUAAAAAGAGACUCAUCUCUAAAAGAAAGGGGGUUUUUGACCUCCAAAAGCACUGUUUAUGCUUAGAGAGAGAAACUCAUAUUCUCCAUAUUUUUUUAUUUCUUUAAUCUUAAUUAAACACUAACUUAGAAGUCAGAGUACCUUACUCAUCCCUUUGAAUUCGAGGCCAAUGAUUGUGACAAGUUCUCUACAAAGUAUAAAUAAGUGUGAAGAUAAAAAAAUCCAACACAUUCAAAUCCAUUUUAAAAGACUUCUUAUUAACAUUUAAUAAGAUGUUUUUCAAUUUAAUUGGCUAAUAACCAUAAAAAAUCUUGUUACACUUGAUUUCAAAGUAAAGUUGAAGAAGAUAUAUACCUAAUGUUAUCACUAGAGCCUUGAAUCAAAUUUUAGCAUGCAUAAUGAACUUUUGUGAUAUCAUUAUUUUUUUUUAGCAUUAUUGUUUAUGUAAGAAUGUAGACAAAAUCUAAAUUAAUUUUUUAAUCCUCGCCUCCUCAAAAUUCGAGUAAGGAUGGAUUAAAAAAAUUACUUAAAAAUCACUUGCUUAGAACUUGAGGGCCAAUAAAAAUAUAUUAAAUAUAAAAAAUUUAACAGUGCCACAAGUAAAAUUAUUUAAAGUUGGAUUUAAACCUGUGCCAUACUAAAAGCUUACUACAAUAAUAAUUCUUUUAAAAAAAAAUUAUAAUUGGCAUCACAAAUUUUAACGAUUUUUACAGGGUGUAAAUAAUUUAUUCCGUUAAAAAAACAAUAUUUUAAUCCGUUCAAAAAAAAUAAAUAAAUACAUAAUCUCUUUCCUUUUUUUUUGAAAAAAGGGGAAAUUGUAAUGGUGGGAAUUCCUGAAACUGACAGAUUACUGGCAGUGAUUGGAUAUUGUCAAGCACACACACCUGAAAAGCGUGUGGAUUGGAUCAACAUCAAACAAACAAAAAUGGUUAACUUAGAGAUAAGGAAUCUUCAAGAUGUCAGGGUCCCACUUUUUGAUAUUGCCUGAGAUUUCAGUUGGAAAGAUUUGUCAACAAAGUUUUUAUUAUUUAUUUAUUUAUUUAUUUUAAGAAUAAAUAAAAACAAAAAUAAAAAGGAAAGACAGAUGAGAGAAGAUGCCUUUUUUUUCUCCCAAGCAAAUAAAGGACAAGCUUUUACAGCCAUUAGAUUCCGUCUUCUCUUCCAUACAAGUAAGAAUCUCUCUUUCCAUUCAUCAAAUUUGAUCGCUAAUUCUUUUAAUAAAAUAAAAUAAAUUAUUUAAGAAAACGAUAUUAAAAUAAUAAUAAUAAAAUUCUAUUAAUAAUUUUAUCUCAGAGGUGUAGGUUGGAUUGGAUCCACCCAAUUUCCCGCAUCUCCUUUGCUUUUUGUCUAUUGAGAUUUGGGAGAAUCUAUAAUUUUAUUUUUAUUCCACAAAAUUUCCCAAAAUACCCUUUCAUUUUAAGUUUUUUUUUUUUUCAAAGGAAUAAUCAACCCAUCAAAAAAAAUCGAAAAUAGUGUAAAGAUUGAAUGAAUGUGAUUUAUGAAGUCUUUUUCAGGGAUAAGUGGAAUAGGCAAUGUUUAUGCAAGUGGAGUCAUUUCGGCCCUAAUAAAAUUAAAUGUAGAUACGGCUUUCUCUUCAAAAUCAAAACUAUACCGAAGUUGAUUGAUUGGUAGCUGCCAUCUUCCUUUCAAACCCUAUUCCCUCCUCCCUCUUGGUCAUCAAAAUUUUCACUCUUAGACAUCAUCUAUUUCAAGUGUCUUAUGAUCCAAUAAUUAAAAUUUGUUUUCAUCAUAUAAUGUAAUAAUGUUGUAAACUUGAAUUUUAUUGUUUGAUUCAGAUAUAGUGGUGGAAUCAGAAUUUUUAAUCCGUGAUAUAUUUUAUUAUAGACAAUAACUAAUACUUUAUAAAUAAAUUUAUAAAAGAUGUAGAAGCUAAUGCUAUUAUCAUUUAGAAAAAAAGUUUUAAGUACCCAACAACAAGUGUAAUCACACUUUAUAUAAUUCCGUCAUUGUUUAUGUGAAACGUAGGAAAAUCAAUUAUUAUUUUUUAUUGAUAUUGCAAGUGAUUUGAAGCAUAGAUAAAAUAAUAUUAAUAAAUGUAAGGUCAUGAAAAAAAAACAAUUAUGAUAUUAUUGACAUAGUAAAAUGUCAAUAUAAAGGAAUAAUAGUAGGAAGAAGGGCAGUUUAGGUGACCCCCAAAGAAAAGAAAGAAUGGCUUGGCAUUCCUCAUGUAAAUGUGAAGAAUUUUUAUUAAUAUUCUUUCUCUAGAAAUGUGUCAAAGGGAAUUAGAUUCUCUUAAUCCUGCUUCCAUUGAAAGUAAUGAUAGCAAGGAAAUGAAGGAAUUGAAGCCAGCCACAGCCAGCCAGAUCAUUCUCAUAUAUAUAUAUAUAUAUAAGAUGUGAUAAUGAUGAUGAUUGAUGGGCGUCGUUCAAAUUUAUUUAUUUAUGCAAGAGAAACAAGUUGCCAAUUUGGUCAAUUCAAGAAAAAGGGUGGAAAGAAAAAAAAAAGGGGAAAUGUGGAAUUUACUCAUGGGAGAGAGAAAGUUUAGGUGGGAAGCUUGAGGAUUGACCAAGUGAGUGCCAACCAAUUGGUAUUAGAUGGACAAAAGCAAAGCAUCUUCUCUUCUUUUAUUCUCCCCUGUUUAAAAUUGUGGGAUACUCUCUUGGAAUCCAAGACUUGGUAUCUAAUAUCUACAACCAUCCAACUUUGUCUUCAAACUUACUAAUACCAUUUAGAAUAAUAUUACAACAUAGAUCAAGGCAAUACCAAUAAAGUUAGGGGUGGAACUAUAUAUAUAAUUGAAUUGAAAAUUUAUCAAUUUUUAUGCAUUAGUACUAUUUUAACAUCUUGUUUUUAUAUAUUUUAUGUUAUAGCUUACCAAAGCGUAUAAUUUUUAGAUUAUAAACCCCAUCGAAUCAAGAUUCUAUAAAGAUUUUUCUUUUGUGCAACUAUCUGUAUGAAUACUUGAAAUUUUAACUCUUAUUUGAUAUAACUUAUCUAAUAGUCGUAAUUGUUUGUUUAAUUCCAUAAGCUCUUUUUAAAGUUUUUUUUAUUGUACUUUGGCUAUUUUUUUAAUAAAACUUUUGAAGAUUAAAUGAGAAAUUUUACUUCUGCUACCAAAAGUUUAAAUUUUUAGGCAUUUUAGAGUAGAGAUUGUAAGAUUUUUUCAAAAUAUUAAAAUAUCUAAAAUAUUCUUUACUUAUUUGACAAUUUUAUUUCAUUCAUUUCACAACAUAAUUUUUUAAAAAACUUGCAUACUAAAGUAAUUUUAUAAUUCUUAAUAAAAACUCUCAUUGACAACCAAAAAACUAAUUUUUUUUUAGUAAAAUCUCUACUUGUAAAAACUUUACUAACAAAGGUUUUACUUGAAUAAGUUCUAUUUAAAAAAUUAUACCAAACGAAGCGUACUUGUAAUUUGACAUUACACUAUAAUGUUGGAAUUUUUUUUUUCCAAUUUAGGGUUGGAUUAUAAAAAAACUAUGUUCAAUUCUUUUGUGAAUAUCUUUGGAACCACGCGUAUCAAUUUGAUGUUUACACUUGCAAUUUUUUGGUUUAAAUAUUCUUUCAAGAUUUAAAUUUUUUGUUUCUCACAUAUUUUAUAAUUUCUAUCAUGUUGUUUUAAUUUGUGAUUGCUCUUAAUUAUUAUGUGACUUAAACAAUUGACUAACUUGCAAAACUAUUUGAAGUCUAUCCAAAUAGUGAUGUAAUGUUUUUUUUUUUUUUUAUUCAAGUGAGAGCACUAAUAGUAACGUAAAGAAUGGGUUAUAAUGUUAUAUACUUCAAUAGAGGCAAUUGAUGAGAAGAGUUGCAUGCGAUGGUAAUGCUCAAUCAUUUUCAUCUCCCAAGCAUUAUGUGUUAUUAUAAUCGUUGAUUCUAGAUAUGGUAUGAGCAUGCAAGACCUAGUAAUUGUCUUAAUUUUGUAGCAAAAUGAGAAAAAAAAACAUUAUUUCCAUUAAAACAAUCACAAGAAGACUACAAUGAUUCAAUUUAUGUAUUUUAUGUGGAUUGUGAAGGAUCCGUAUGUGGAUUUGAAAUCAUAGGAAUUCACACAUCUCAAUCUUUUGAUCAUUUCAUCUCAAUUUAGGUUCUUAAUAAAUGUGAAGCUAAUAAAAAUAUGUCUUUAGAUUGUUUUUCUCCUUGUCAUUGCAAGAUACAAGAGUAAUUAAAUUAAAGCUAACCCUUUUAACAAUUAAAAAAAAAAAGAAGUGAGAAGGAAUUAUAAAAAAUGAGGGAAGUAAAUCAGUAAUGCAUGUUUACUCAAUUUUACUAAACCUUCUUGAAAAUGGAAACAACCCAUAAAAGAAUCUUAGCUGCUUCUAUUUGGUUCUCUUUUCUACUGCUGCAACUAUAAGAUGCAACAGAAAAUAGACAUUUUUGUUCGCCCUUUUUAGCAUAAGACACCAAAGAUUAGUUUAAAAAAUGAAAGAAAGAAAGAAAAAAAGGCAGCAGCAGCAAAAAAAUCUUUGGCAAUAGUGGACAUAUACUUAUGCCCACCAGUAAUAAAGAAUGUAACUUUUUCUCAAUUGCAGCACAUGACAGUCUGCUUCAAAUUUCCACAAGAUUCAUUGAUUCAUUCAUCCGCCCAUACGCAUUGCGCCACGCCCUUUCACUUUCAAGAAAGGUACAAACCAACUACACAUUGAAUCCAAAGAGAAGAGAAAAUGAACACACAUAAAUUAAAAGAUACCUUAUAUUCAAGGUCUUUGAAGAGGACAAGAAGAAGAAGAAGAAGACGUGUAAAUUAAACAAAUAAAAAUUGUACAAAAUUCCAAUUCAAUUCUUAUUCUUAUCUCCUCAAAAGAGCAUCUUUCACGUGAUGACAAGCUCAUGUUCAUGGCAUUUAUGUGAGCCCCUAGUAGUCUUUUCAUGAAGGUAUCUUUUUGUCCCAUUAAUAAUUUUUGUAUUUCCGUUUUCUGAUUUCUUCUUGGGGGCAAAAAUUGCUUGUGACCAUGGAAUCUUGUUAAAUGAUGGGCUUGAUAAGUUUUUGAUCUCUUGUGAGGAUGUUUUUGUCAUUUAGGGUUUUGGGGGUGUCUCCGUCUGCUUUUUAUGGGUUGUUGUGUGGCAUUAUUGUUAGUGCUAAGCUUGUGCCCUUAACAAGAAUCCCACUUACCCUUCCCUCUUUUCCUAUCCCAAACAUCAUCAUUUUUUUUUCCCAAAAUCUUCUUUUUCACAUUUUACUCCUUUUUCUUUUCAUUUUUAUUUUUUAAAUUUCUGUUUUGAAUUUCAAUUUAGAGAAGAAAGAUGUAACAGAAGCUACCUUUGUUGAUAGGGUCUUUUGUAAGUUUUUAUAAUAUGUUAUCAAAUUGAAUCUUAUUCAAGCAUCAAGAUUGAGAACGAUUUACUUUACACCUAAGCUAUGUUAGGAUUUUCUUUUUUUUUUUAAAAAAAAAAAAAAGAGAGACGAGAGAAAACAUAAAAAUUAAUUAAAUAAAAAAAGAAGGUAUAAAUUUUAACGCCUCCGAUAAAAUAAUAAUAAUCAAUAAUAAACAUAAUGAUCAAUAAGAUGAAAAUAUUAUGUCGACUCUGUGAUGAUUUCAUCCAACCAAUAAUUCUAUGCACGUAAGCUGCUAACUCAAUUUACAUACGAUUUGUGUUUAUAUAACUAUUUUUGACCGGCCUUACUAUUCUUCUUAGAUUUUACGGGCCAUUGUUGCUUGUGAGGAUGUUUCUUCCAUGCAUCUUCAAUUUCGGGCUGUUAGGAGUACUUUUACUUACGUAUUUUUACACGUACGUAGUAUUCUGUAAGCGUAUAAUGACAUGGCAUGCUUAUCUUUCUCGGUAGAGACUUUUUCAUCCGUAAACGAAAAUGAGACUGAAUUAUAAAUGUUGACUUCAAAUCAUCAUUUAUGAUUAUCUGUAUUUAUUAAACAAAUUAAAAAAAAAAACCGACUUUGACAACUUGAUAUGGCCUUAGAAAAAGGCCAAAAAAAACACUGUAGCUUAUUUAAUGUGUAUAAUCCCUUAUUUUUUUUAAUUUAUUUAUUAUAUUCUAAAGAUAUAAACCAAAGACUCGUUAUUGAAAUUCGAAUCUUGAGGGAGGAAAAAAAAAAAAGAAGUAAAAAAAAAAAAUUUUAAAUUACUACAACGAUACUUUUUAGUAAUUUUAAUCCCAAAAUGGUGGGCUACAGCGUGAAGCGGUAAAACGUCAAAAUGGAUUAAAAAAAAAAGUAAAUAAAAACAAAGCUAUUAUUUUAUUAAUUAAAGGGGAGAGAGAAAAAAAUAAAUAAAAGAAGACAAAAGGUGUACGUGCGGUGUGGGCAGUCCCGAGAGCAACCACGUGGCAGUUGGCAAAUGAUGGUUCAGAGGAAUACGGUUCGCCGCAUAUGAAGGGGAACGGCGGUGCUUUUACACAAUUCCAUUUUUUUCGGGUUUUAUUUUUUGGGCGCGUGGGUCCCACAUUAUUCUCUAAAUAUUUUCUUGUCUUUGGACAAUUUUUCACGGGCACUACACGAAUUUUUCAUUAAUUUUUUUAAUUAAUUGGGGUAGCGUCGUAUUUUUUUUUUCAACCCACACCACUUUUAUUCCAAUCACAUUUCCACACUUGCCCACCAAAACACUCCAAUAAAAUGAGAAAAGAGGUAAGCUUUCUCCUUUGACAACUAUUGUUCUCACCCUUCCACUCGUCCCCAUUAUGCUCUCUUUCACACCAUUUCCACCCCUUCCAACUUCUCAAAAUUUUAUAAUUCUCAUUCCCAUAUCUUCAAAAUUACAAUUUUUUUUUUAAUUUUUUAAUUUUUGCAUUUACCUUCACAAAUCUACUUAUAAUAUGGCUCGAAUCUACUUUCAAAUGUUUUACCAUAUAACUAUUGGAUAAUUUGAUAGCGGAAUAAUAGUUUCUCUCCCUCGAAUAGAAUUAGAUCUCAUCCAAAUUAAUUUUAGAUAUACGAGCUCUGUCAUAUGAAAGCCGAGGCUCUAAUAAAUAUAUAUGAAUUAAACGUCAUUUAAAUAGAAUAUGCAAAUUUUAGAGGAGAUGAUAUUCUUGAACCAAAAAGAGAAGGCUUUCCUUGUAUGCAAGAUAAUUGAAUUAGAUUCCAAGUUAGAGCACGUAUGAUGAAACUUUAUACGGACAGGAAUUGGGGGUGUGUGCGCGCGCCCUCACAGUCACAUGAAGUUGUUCACAAGCAUUGCAAAGUUUCUUAAAGCCAUAAAAAUGGUGGAUGGUCCACUCUUUUUCCGACCCUCCAUUAUGACGAUAAGGCCUAGACAAUAAUGCCCACGAGCUUGCUUACUGAUGUGCUUGACAUACCUAGCUACUGCUAUUGCCACCACCACCACCACCAUUGCUACUCGCACUUGUCUCUCUUCUAUUUUCGAUAUGUCCACAUUCUCUCUCUCACAUGAAACUCAAAUUAAUGUCAAAUAAAUAACACAACUUCGAAGAUCGCAUAUAAUGUGUAAAAGGGAUGCUUUGUAUUUUCGUGGGUUCAAACCAUGAGUUGAAUGGAUACACCAUACAUGCUGCUUUGAUUUCCAUAUUGCAGGUCAAAGGGGAUUAGAACAUCCAAUAAGGGGUCCCUAUUUCAAACAUAUCAUCUUAAGGUCAACGGACUUGAAAACGGAAAUGAAAGAAAAAGAAAAGCUCAACUCAGAUACAAAGUCAUUCGACUCAUUCCAAAGAGCUCGACCCCCAAUGACAGUUGUUUCAGAGAAAUUGAUUGGUUCUCACAUGUCAAGCAUUAGAAUCUCCAGCUUAGAAAAUUUCAUAUUCUUUCGAUUUCCAAUAGUAAGACAUAGUAGUUCAUGACUUCAUGCAUUGAUUACUAAAGUAGAUUUCACGCAUUGAUUAGCAAUAAAGUUAAAUAAAGUAAAUGGCACAAGAAGGAUAAUGAAUUACACAAAUCUUUAUAUCAUGGAAACAUUUUGUCAAUUAUACACAAGCAUUUUCAGCAUAGUAGGGAGAAUAUUGUUGGACCACUUUGAUGUUGCGGGUUAUCCCAAGUUCUGUCGAAUAGUUAAAGCCCACCAAUUGGAGUGCACAGAGUGCAUCAUAAAUUCCCAACAAUUGUUGUUGCAUGUCAUACAAAGGAUGAAAGAUGAAAGCAUUAUCAACCUUGUGAUCUCUGCAAGACCGCAUGGGAUGGCAAUUGGCAGAACUAGCUUCCCAGAUUGGCACAGCUUAUCAUUCCACUUUUAAAUGCCUACAUAUACAAAUCAUGCAAACAAGGACAAGAAAGAAAUAUAUGGCAGUGGCCAAGUUCGUGGCUAGAACUAAACUAACUCUAAGAUUGUUUGUUUCCAAUUGUUCUGUUCCAAGCAUACAAAAAGAGGAACUACAAAGAGAUAACUAACUUUAGCAAAACUGCCCAUUUCUAAUGGACUCACGAUAUACGCUUAUAAACAACUUACUCUUCCAUCUUGAUGCAAUGAGCAGAAGCUUUGAGACUGAGAAGCCAUUGAAGGAGUCAACCUUGAAAAUCCUUUUAGCUUAUCAUCACUCUCGGAUCAGACAGAUUCCUUCAAUAUCAAGAAGAAAACACCAAGAAAGAUGAAAAGGAUAUUGAAGUGCCAGAACUGAAAAAGAAUCUAAAAUGAUGAUCAACUGAAGAAACCAUAAAGCUUAACAGAGAAAUUAUGUCACAAAACUUGAAAAAUUGCAUUGGACAUAUUUAUGCGGUGAACCCAAAGUAAAAUGCAAUAGAUAAAUUGGACAUGCUUGAGGCAAAGUUGAAUGAUUAGCAGUAGCACAGCAAUAUAAAUAUUUGAUAUUCAGUUUAAUGAAGCAAUUAAGGAAAGACCAAAUCUUUUGCAGCUUAAGGUUUUCUUGCUGAACUAAAAUAAAAAUAAACUCAAUUGAGCAUGUUUAUAGCCUAACCUGUCAUCAAAUCAAACUUCUUUCUUCUGUCGUUUAGCUUUAUGUUUCGGCUCAUCUGUACCUGAACAAUGAGGAGUUUAUUGCAUAUCCUAAACUGAGAUAGAACCUCUCAUAAAAUUGCAUUGGUACUAGAAAUACUUGAUAAAAAUGAAAUCUGGUCUUUAAAUUAGCUACAAGUCAAGUAUGAAAGCAUGCUCAUGAAAUUAACCUCUUUUGGCUAACUAGAGAAACCUUCCUGAAGCAUUUCCCAUACAAUCAGCUUUUCCCCAAUUUUUAAUCUAAGUAACUCCUAUGUUUGAAGCAAGAUGUUGCAUCAUCAGACUACAAAUCAUAAAGGUCUGUAAACAAAAUCAUCAUCAUAGAAGCACCCUACUUUAUUCUCCACUGUCUCGGGUAGGUAGAUUGCUAAAGUACCAGUCAUGAAAAACAAUGUGCAGCUGGCAGGAUAUAAGUAACCAAUCUCACCUUCUUCCACCUGCUCGCACUGCUUUUCCUUUUCUUUAGAUUUGGCUGGAAGUGAAAAAUAUGGAUUAGGCCUUAAUUUGAAACAGAAGACAACUUAAAUGGUAAGUUUAUGAUCUAUUUUUAUGAAAACUUUCUAGCACAAGAAAAAUUCCACACACUACCUUGGUGUAACUAAACAAAGCCAUAUUUAUUAAAAAUUACACAAGCACAAUAAGACCAAUGUAAGCAAAUUUGUGCAUGGCAUGUGCAGACACUUGAUUAAAAAGCCAAAGAUGAAUGAAAAAUAUGAAUAUUAAGAUAUUUGGAUGGAGAUGACCAAGUUAAAUAUCUAGAAUUAAUACUCGCAACCUUUAAAGAGAGAAGAAGGUUGAUUAAGAAAAUACCAUCCGCCUCAUCCAACGGCCAUAUGUGUCUGGUCAGGGCUUUAUUCAUUUGAAACAUGUUGAUAGAAUUAACACGGAAAAGAACCUGUAAGGCCUCAUCACAUAUUAUAUUUCGCCUAUUCUUUGGAUCUUGCAAAUUCUUCUCUCGGAUAUAGGCCCAGAGUUUCUUGACAACCUACCACCAAAAGAACAAAAAGAUAACAGAGAAUAAAAGAAUACGCUUUGAAAUUAUGGUUCAAAGAUAUUCAUCAUCAAAAAGUAGACCCAAAAAAAGGGGAGAUUUUAUUUAUUUUUUUUUUUUUUGGUUGAAAUCCUAUUACAGACCUCUGUUCUGGCCAAUUCAGAUACGCCGACAAAUGUCUGAAGAUCCGGAGAAAGACUACACAGUUUGGUAAAGCCACCUCUCCUUUUCUUGACAUCUUUAUCCGCCUUAGUUGAUCUAGUCGAAAAGUUGGUUUAGUUUAGUUUAUAGACAAAUGAGUCAUGGACUGUAGUAACAUCCGCUACGGGAGAUUCUCCAUUAUAUAUAUAAAUUUGAUUUCCAAUGCUAAUAUACGAAUGCAUUCCAAUAUCCUCUGAUAUAACUAACAGACUGUGAUAAAUCAAAAAGAAUUGCAAAAAUCAUCAACUCCAACAAUAAAAAGCAAGGAAACUGAGAUGUGAUUCUGCAGAACUUAACCCAUAUCCAUAUGAGAAACAAAAUAACCAACAAAAAGGAGUAACCAAAUAACUACUUCAAACAGAAAUCUUUGUUAUUCUAAAAGUUGAAUAGGUGAAAAAUAGGUGCAUUUGUACGCAAUAUCCCAAAAUGCUAUCAAUUUCAGAUUGGAAGCCAAAAAAUACAUAUAAAUGAAGUUUGCAACAUAUUCCUUCCCCUCGCAGGGCUUAUGCUCAGAUGUACUCAACCCCAUUCCACCCUUUAACCUUUGAAUUUUGUCAUGGCAUCAAAGAAAACUUAAUUUCCACAGGUAUCCUUGAGCAUUAUUUAAUUUAAGAGCUGAAAUCUAAUUAGUGAAAACCAAUCCAACAGAAAAUGCCUCAUAAACACCAUUAUCAACAUAAGAGGAUAAAAAAGCCAAUAUAAUUUUUAGAGACAGCUAACAAUGAGUAGUUAUCAUAAAUUUAUUGAAAUCCUCUCAAAUUCAGACGAUAAAUUGUCAUUACAGUAGUGAUUCCUGAAGGGAAAAAAAUAAUGCAGAUGUUAGACCAAAAAUUUGAGUUAAUAUAAAUUUGCAAGCAUAAUACUACUAUAAUUAAAAGUUCCGGAUAUAAGGCCUUGAAUGUUCUUCAAGUAUAUGUUCUAUCAGAUGUGAAAUUAUUGGAGGAAAAAAGAAGAAAGACAGAACUAAGAAAAAAAGAUAAAAGAAUCAACACAAACACAAGGCGGCAAGAAGAACUCACCUAUUUUCCUUGCUUUGCUGUUCAAUACUCGUUUCCUCUUCUUCCUCUUCCUCUUCGUGUUCCUGUUCCUGUUCCUGUUCCUUUUCUUCUUCUUCCUCCGAAUUCUUGAAAUCUUCAACUCCUAUCUUCUGCUUUACAUUUUCUGAUUUUUCAUCCAUAAGUCGGCACUAUUAUUUCAACCAAAUAACUGAACCAUACAAAUUUAGGAUGAUACUCUAAAGGUAAAUACCGCUAAUGAAAUAAAGCCGAAGUACAACGUGAUCCAGUUUGUUUUGAGGAAGUCGAAGUAGCCGUGAUUGCAGAAAAAUCUAAACAUGCUACGGUAAUCAAAAUACUGGAAAAUUUGAUAAGAUCAUAACAAAAAUGAGUGUUAUACUGCAUCUCUAAAAAUUUGAGAAACAACCCAACAAGGAAAAUCAUACUAAGAACCACAUGCUAAAUAAUAACAAACUAAUUCUUUGCAUACUUGAGAAAAGCAAUAGUGUAGACUAGUCACCGACAUGCAACCACUUUUCUUCUGCCAAGUGCAAAUAGUUGCCUACAGAAUCUCAACACCAAUUGCAUUUCAUUUUGUAAAAUAAAAAUGUUUAACUAAACAAAGUUCUAUCUUUUGGCAAGACUAAAUCAUAUUUAAUCUUUAUUACGUGAUAUUUUUAUUCUUGCUAAAAGAUGUUUUAUAUGAACAAAUCUUUAAUCUUUUACCCCAAAUUAAAAAAAGAAAAAUUAAAAAUACAAAUGAAUUUAUUACGAUAAGAACAUUGGUAUCCAUUUCUUUCCAAUUAUUCCCUCUACACUCCAUAAGUAACAUUAACCACAAAUGUCAAAGUCAAGUUCAAAGAAAGUACCAUCUUCUGCACCGAGAGGCCAAAUGUGCUUUGACAGGGCCCUAUUCAUUUUGAACAUAUCAAUAGAGUUGACACCGAAGAGAGCUUGCAAUGACUCGUCACAUAAUAUUUUUCGCUUAUUAUUUGGAUCCUGCAAUUUAUUUUCUUUGAUAUAUACCCACAAUUUCUUCACAACCUGGAGCCAUAGAAUUGGAUAAAACAGAAGUUAAAAUUUUCAAUUCGAACUUUUAUCUGUAAUCAGCACAAAAUAACAAAUAUAUUGGAUGUACCUCGGUUCUUGCCAAUUCAGGGGCUCCAACAACUUUUUGAAGUUGUGUAGAAAGACUACAUAAUUUGUUAAAGCCACCACCUCCUCUCCUCUUGACUUGUCUACCGACUUUGAUUGACCUAAUGGACAAAUUAAAUAGAGUAACGCCCACAUGUACAAAUUGGCACACCCAUCUCUUUUAUAACUAAUUUUAUUUAUUUUUAUUUUCACCUAUUCGCUGCUUUCUUUUUCAUUUGUCAGUAAUAAAGUAAUAAAAGGUUCCAUCAUUUUUAACAAAGAAGCAGAAAAAAAUAAAAAAGAUCUUUUUUUUUUUUUUAGUUUUUCAUAAAUAAAGUAAAAAGAACAAACAGAAAGAAAAAAAAAAGCUUACUUUUCUCUUUUGCUUUCACUUUCUUCUUCUUCUUCUUCCUUAUCAUCUGCAUUUGCUUCAACGGCGCCGUUUCCAUCAUCCUCAAUUUCUUCUCGUUCUUUCUCUAGGGUUUGUAGAAAUAGGUCAAUUUGUUCGCUGACAAAAGCCUUUCGGUCCGAUAAGUCCACCUUAAAAUCUUCCUCUAGUAGCCUCCGUACACUGCCGGCGGUGGCCGUGUCCAGGUCCGAGUUCCGGAGGAUGUCUCGAAGCCGGGUCACAAGGUCCGAGUCCGACACCAUUUUCGGGUUUCCGCUUUCUCGAUAUUUCCCGGGCUACAGGGAAAAGCCUCAGUUGAGGUGGCCGCGAAAUUUGGGGGGGGAUAUUGUGUGAGGGUAUUUAUGGAAUUAGGACAGUGGCAGGUGGUUACAAUCGUUUUUAGCUCAAGGACUCUCUCAACUCUUUUCAUGUGAAUAUUACAUUAUCAAUAACAAACUAUUUAAUCUUCUAAUUAAGUUUUUUUUUUUAAAAAAAAAAUCAGUAAUAUUCAUCUUUUCUGUGGUGCCUCUUUAUUUUUAAUUAAAAUCAACUAAAUUUCAACGUCACAUCAAUAAAUUUUAUUAAAUAUUUUAGUACUGUUAAUUUAAUUGACCCUUUUUUUUUUUUCAAAAUCAAAAUGCUGCUCGUCGAUUUCUAAUUAUCCUCCUAAUAAUCGUCGAUUAAUUAAUGUAUGCAAUUAAACUUACAUUAACUAGUCGUUGAUGCUUCAAAAGAAAAGGAAGAAUUAUGACCCAAAAGGAAAGCUCCAAAUUCUUGCGAAUAUAAGUAAUAAUCAAUAAUGUGGGUAGAUGGUUAUAUGUAAUACCAAUCCAUAGCAGUCAAGUGGGAUUGAUUCAUUAAUUACUCAUUAUAAGAUUCACCUGCAAAUUUUGAUGGAAGCCCAAUUGCACCAUUGCUGUAAGGAAAACCAGAUAAACAUUUUUAACAGAGAGAAAAAUUCUAAUAUUCAGCAUCAUUCAAGUAUUCUAUUCGCAAGUUAGUAGAACAGUUGAACAUAAAACAAAACAAGGAAAAGACUUCGGAUAGAGCGAUGAAAUUCAAAAAGUUUUCUCUGCUUGCUUCUAUCUCGGAGGUUAAAAAGAAACAGGAAAUUAGUAUACUUUGAGUUGAGUUCACAGGAAAAAUACCCUUUUCACCCUAGAAUUUCAUAUAAUAAUUUAUUUCAUCAUACUUUUUGAACAAUAGUCUAAAAUAAGACUUUUUUUGGGAGCCUCUAAGUUACAAUAAUUAUAACAUACAUUCCUCAUGUGAACCACACAAAAUUGUAGGACCCACAAUUUGUGUGGUUCACAUGAGGGAUGUAUGUUACAAUUAUUGUAACUUAGCAUUUGCCUUUUUUGACCAUAGGGUUUCAUGCAAUAAUCUAUUUCAUCAUACUUUUUGAACAAUAACCCAAACCAUCCUUAUGUUAAUUUAUUGUUAUUUUAAUACUAUUUGUUAGCAAUUCAUUUAGGGUAGGUAAAAUAAGACUUUUAAUUAAAGAGAAAAUUAAAAAAAUAAAUGAAAGCUAACACAUAACUAAAAAUGAUUUUUCUAGACAAGCAAUCCCGAAAAGGAUGAAAACUUAUAUAUUUUAAGCAAUUGUUUUGCAUUUUUUUUUCUAUUUUGGUACCCUUGGCUCUUCAUUUUAACACCAUAAAAGUCUUGUAAACCAUAGAUUUAAGUACAAAAAAUAAUCACAAUUUUCAUAUUCAUAUAAUUAUAUUCUCUAAUUACACUUUCAACCAACUUGGGGAGACAGUAAUGGUUAAAGAAGAGUGGUGGUAAAGCUCAAAAAUUUCAGAAGCAAGCUAAGUUAAUAUUGUUGUGGUCUGUUUCUCAACUAAUCGUUCUUUUAUUUCAAAUAACGAAGUUUUGAAGAAAUUUUAAUGGCUUUUUUCAUAAGUUAUUGUAACAUGGGUUGAAUUAAUUCCUUUUGCUUUUAUACUAAGUAGCGGAUAUAUAUAUAUAUAUAUAUAUUGGCUUGAUACUGAGUAAUGAUAAUGUGGAUGUGUGUAAAAGGGCAUGUUUAUAUUAUUAUUAUGGGAUGGUAAUUGUGUUUGUUGAUAUUGAAGUUUUCCUAUAAAAUUAAAAUAAUUGCAAUGAUAGGAAAUGUUUGAUUUAGACAACAAACAUUCACUUAUAUAUAUAUAUAUUAGUUAUGCUUGUGUUUACUAUGGCAGAAAGGAUGCACGAUGCGGCUGUUGUUGGAUAUGAGUUUUUGUGAUGUGAAAAUAAAUUGCCGGUACAGAUUAUAUAACAACAAUCUACCCGUCGUAGAUUACUUUUUUGUGUACUGACUAGUGUACUAGCCAUGUGGCAUAGGAGGUGUAUUCGGUACUCAAAAUCUCAAAUCUCAUGAAAUGGUUUGAGUUGAGAUGAAAAUUAAGAAGAUAUUCAACACAAUCCAAGCACAUAAAAUUUGGUGGUAUUUUUGAGUUUUUCUUCUAAUGAUUUAAAGACAUUGUGUUAAUUAUAGGUUAUUACUUAUGUCAAUUAUUCAGUGGCUAUCACAAACUAUAUCAUCGUUGACUUCAUUAAAAAGAAUUAAUAGCAUAUAUUGUAGUGCUAUUUAAUUGUGUACAUUUUUUAUUUUAAAACAGUUUAUAUCAUUUUAAUUGAAAAUCUUAUUUUGUCCUCAAUAAAUUAUUAGCAAACAACAUUAAACUAAUGGUGAAUUAGUCGAAUGAUGACUUAAGUUAUUGUUUAAAAAGUAUGAAUGAAAUAUACUAAUGCAUGAAACCUUAGGGGUUUUGCCCUUGUUUAUAUUAUGGGAGAGCCAAUUUUCCUCUUACUGUAAUCAAUAAAUAUCAUAUGCCCCCUACUGUUUUUAUAAUGACCAAUAAUCCCUUGACAUUAUAAGUUUACAGUAUUACCUUUAUUUUCAAAUACCCUUUUAUUCAUAUUUAUUAUAAAUAAAAUAAAUCACAUGAAUGAAAAUUAAAAUAAAAAAAAAUUAAGUAUUAAAAAUAAAAAAAUGUAUGUUUUGAUGUGAAAAAAUUAAUAAUAAAAGUAUUUUCUUGUACUUUUUUAUUUUAUAAACAUUUUCUUAUAAUAAAUAUAUAAGAAAAUUAUUAUAAAAUGAUAAAAAAAUUAUUAUAAGAAAACUUGAAUGAUAAAUAAAUUAUUAUUAUAAAAUAAAUAAUAAAAUAUUUUUCUUGUACUUUUUACAUUUAAUUUUAAAAUCUUAUAAAAUAUUUAUUAAAAGAAAAUAUUUACAAAAUAAAAAAGCACAAGAAAAAAAUUUUAUCAUUAAUUUUUUUGUUCACAUCAAAACAUAUAUUUCUUAUUUUUAAUACUUAAUUUUUUUUAUUUAGUUUCUAUUUAUAUGAUUUAUUUAAUUUAUAAUAAAUAUAAAUAAAAAUGUAUUUGAAAAUAUGAGUAAUAUUAUAAACUUAUGUUGUUAAUGGUUAUUGGCUAUUAUAAAACCAGUAGGAGGUAAAUGGUAUGUAUUGAUUAUAGUAAGGGGAAAAUUGGCAAUCUCCCUUUAAAUUAUUAUUGUCUAUAAUAGGAAUUUCAGUAAUGGGUAAUUUAGUAAUAGAAUUUUUUUAUGAAAAAAUGAGAGUGAAAAAUGUUUUAGUGGGUUCAAAUAUUAGCACCCUGUUCAAAUAUUCUCACUAGGGUUCUAAUAUUUUCACUCUUAUUUUUUUUUUUGUAGUAGCACACAAAUUAUAGGUACACCCCAAGUGAGGAUUUUUAGACCCAUCAAAAUAUUUUUUUUUAAACCUACUUGUUUAUAAAAUUUUAUAUUAAAAAAAAACUCAUAAAGUGAAUUGCCACUUACCAUAAUCUAUAUUCCUAUUUCUCUUCAAAAUCAAAAUUGAAUGUUUGUGCGAAACUAACAUGAUUAAUAUUCAACAUUCGAAUCGAUUAUUUAUUUCAUCACCAUAUUCUCAAUGAAUUUUUGUUCUAACAAUAAAAAUAUACAAUAAGUAUCCAUAUUAAUACCUAAAUCGUUUUAAGUUUCAAUAAGAGUUAAUUUCUUCCAUAAUAGUUUAUUUUAAUAUAAUAUGAUGAACUCAUCAAAUUCACGUAAACACAAGAGAGAAAGAGAGAUUAAAAUGUAGGCAAAUGCUAUGUUACAAUUAAUGUAACAUAGGGGCUCCCUUAAAAUGUAAUGGAAAUUGUCAUAGAAACUAGAGUUUCUUAAAUUUAGGGGCAACCAAAAUGCAGAUGAUUCGAAUGAAUUAAUGGUGAUUUCUAAGAGAUUGUUUUUUUUUUCUUAUAGUCUCAAUUUGGAUAUGAAUAAUGCUGCCUUAGCCGUUUAUAGAUGUUGAGAAAUGAACAUUGAUGUUGUGAAAUUGCAUUUUUUAACGAGCAUUUAAAAUUGAAAAAUAAAAGAUAGUUGAACUAAUUAAAACGAAGGAGAAGAUGCGGAUACUUUUGGUACUUAGGGAGGUUUGAAGAGUGAAAUCUUUAUUUUUAAAUUUUAGUGAUGUGUUUAUUAACAAAGUGGGUGUGAAAAAGAAUUUUUUUGGUUUAAAGCCCCCGCCCUUACACUCCAUUCCACCCAACCCUUGAAAACAUAAUAUUUUGUAAAUAGACCACACUGAAUGACAUUAUUACCCUUGCAGGCAAUUGGAUUUCCCAUUUUCCACACUUCCUUCCCCAGGAUACAUGCCAAACUUUUUUAAUUUUUCUUUAGGUAGCAGUAAAACCUUAUAUCUGAUCAUCUGCAUUCUAUAGGUUACAGUUGAAGGGUGAGUCAGAAGCACAAUGAACUUACACAAUGCCUACGGCUACAAUGGUGCAUCUCUUGCUUGGUAGCUCAAGGAAUUUUCAAGGGCAUCAAAAUGGACAUAUAUAAACUAGUGUACCAGUAUUGCUAUGAAUCAUUUGGUGUAAAAGAGAAACAUCUCCAGGUUUAAUGACAUUGCAGCAUCUUAUUGCACAUACAGUAGUUUUUGACUCAAAAAUGCAUUUUAGUUUUUCCCAAUUUAGCGAGAACACACAGCGUGGGAGAACCUGUGUAUGCAUAAUCGACAACACAGAUAAUAAUAAAUUAAUAGAUAAAUAAAUUUUAAAUGAUAAAAUCUUAAACAUUUUCUUCCCUAAUAAAACAAUAUUAUUUGUCAUUCACCAAAACCUGCCCGGCACCACUAUAUAAAACAGACUGAAGUUGCAUAGUCAUCCUAAAUUUUCUAUUUACUCUCUUUCUCUCUCCCCCUCAAACUGUUGUUUCCAUACAAGUACAAUAUAAUGAAAUGAAGUGAAUGUGUUUGUGUUUGUGUUUGUUUUUCUUGAUGGGUGUCUUGAAAAAGAUUUGUCUAACAUUUUGGUCCUACAUGCAUAACAAAUGUGCCAUUAAUCCCAAAGCAAUAACAGGUCAUGCAUACAGCUUUAACGUCAAAAUCAAAGUAAGGCUACUAAAUAUACCAAAGUCAACCCACAUUAAAAGUUUCAGCUAUCAAUAAAAUAAUAAAAUAAUGGGAUCUUUCCUACUAUAACCCCAAAAUAUAAUUAAAAAAAUUGCCCUAAAUUGAGAUUAAAGCAUGUGGUCAUACAUGCAAAUGUCUCCUGCAUUUCACAAUAAGUAUUUAUAGUCUGAAAAGAACAAUUAUAACUUCACGCACUGGGGAAUGGUGGAGAAAGAAAUGUAUUUGAUUUCUAAAGAAGAACCCCGGAUGAUUUGCAGAGAAAAAAGAGACAGAAGAGAAUAGCAUAACAGGUGCAAAUUUCCCUCCAGAUAUAUUAUAUAAUAUCAUCUAACCAUGGUUUAUAUGCCAUAGUUCCGAGAUAACUGUGGCUUAUCUAAAGUUAAUACGAUAAGGAGUGUGUGGCCUCUAAUAACAAUUUAAUGGACAACGUCAGUCAAUGACCUAUGCAUGAAAACUUGAACAAGAAGGACUGCAGUGCCAAAAUUUCCAAACCUCAGGUUUUUUCUUUUUUUAAUUUCAAAUAAAACAGCAAGGACUGCAGAGUGUGUAUUACAGCAAUCUUGGCAAGACAUCCACCAAUAAAAAUCCAACACAAGGGCUAAAGCACUCAACAACAAUGCAAAGUGGAAACUGAAGCCCCAUAAUACAGCAAUAAGCAAACGCAAAUCAAUGUAACUCUCAUUGUUACUGUUACCACUACAUGUAAUAACUAAACAACAAAGAUUAAUGCUAUUGUUAAGACAGAAUCACAAUACAUAAUUCACAUAUGUUGAGCCAAUAGUAUGGAGAUUCUUCAUUCACUAAUUUGAAUAAAUAAUAAAUAAACUUUGGAAGCUGUUUCAAAUGUACAACUAAGCUGGCCAGAUAUUGGAUAAAAAAAUACCUGAAUCUCAUGAAGAUAGUUCAAAAGCACUACGAAUUGUCAUCAAUCAUCAUCACUGUAAUCAGAAGCUUUUUCAUCAGAAUCUGACCCACAAUCAAAGUUGAUAUUUUGAGUAUCUAAUUUUCUAUACUCAGAACCUUCAUUAAGAAGAUCUUCUUUCAACUCAUCCAGAACAUAAGGUUCUAUCAGUUUCCAGAACAAUGUAGAAUUGCUUCCAAGAAAACCUAUCCAAAACACUCUCCCCUUCUUCUUUACCCUACAAUCAAGAGAUCUUGCUUUUAAUGUUUUGAAAACCAAUGCAAUACCCUCACUGCUCACCUUUAGCUUUAAUAGGAUAUCCCCAACUGAUGUUCUAUGCCCCCCAUACAUGAACCAGUAUGCCAGAGCUCGUGGUGUCAGCCAUCGAUGGAUUAGCUUUGGAAUCACAAGCCGUCCUUUUGGCCAAAACUUGUCAGCAUAAAAGCAAAAAUAAGGGUGCGAGAUGGUAGAAUACUUGUAUGGUAUAUCAUCAUUACCGUCACUCACCUUAAAAGAAGGAUGUAACCACUCAUGAUACUGGUCAUAUAAAUAUCUCCUCAAAACUGAAUGCAUUCUAGAAUUCUCAUUGAAUUCAAACCGGAUCAUGUGCCUCUUCCUCUUUUCAUCUGAUUCAAUACACAGACCACCUAACAGUAAACCUAUUAAAUUCUCUCGCUGUUCUGAGCUUAAAUUCAGACUCACUGGUUUCUUGACCUCUUUUCUGUUCAAGCUCAAGACGUAAUCAAGUUUUUCCAUCCAUGCAGACUCUAUUUCAUAUUUCUUCAGACACAUCAAAUGAUAUAUCUUUUCUGCCUUGAUAAAAUCUCCAGAAGAGAGGUAUGCACUUAAAAUGAUGUUGCACGAUCGAGUGUUAACACCAAUUGUCUGGUCACUGUGCAUAUGGUUAAAAAUCUCCUCAGCUUUCUCAAUAUUCCCAGCAUUUUUCAAAGAUUCCAAAUAAAUGCCAUAAAUAGUACGAUUGGGUCGACAUUUCUCAAGGCACUCAGAGAAAGCCAAAUGCAACCUAUCGUGCAUGCCCAAAUUGAGGUACAUGUUUGUCAGAUUAAUAUAAGAAGGCAUUAGUGGCUUCAUACCAGUCUCUACAAACUCUUUCAUUAGGGAUUCUGCAAGCUCCGUCUCCUCAGCUUUACACAACAACUCUAUGAUCUUAUGAUAUGCUGGUACACUAGCAGAACCCAAACGCUCUUGCAUCUCCCUAAAUAUUUCCAAAGACUUCAUAAAUUCUCCAAUCUUGGCAUAAGCUUCCAUUUUAUAAACAAAAGCGGGAGUGGGGAUGCCGUUGUCGGAUUCAAGUAGUCUGAGCCAAGUUUUUUCUGCUUCCUCCACGUCCCCCUCCUUCGCACAAACUCUCAAGACAGACAAAAGCACUUCUUUGCCCUCCUCAAAUCCUGCUUGUUGCAUCUCUUUCUUUAGCAAUGAUAUCCUUUCUUUAUCAAUGUUGUCUUGAUAGCUAUGAAGCCAAAUUAAACCACUGUAAAUAUCCUUUUGUAUUUCAAGUCCAGAUGUCAACAAAUUGUGAAAAAUAAACUCCGCUUGUUGGAGGUAAUAUUUUGACAAACCUCCAGGUUUGCUCACCAGAGCUCUGAAGAGAGAAUUAUGCAAGCUAGGACGGGGUUGGUAACCUCCCAGUUGUAUCAUACGAUUGUAAAUACUACAUGCUUCAUCCAAGCACCCUUGAACUGGUGCACUGAGAUACGCAACAAUCAAAAUGUGAAAUGUCAUUUCACUAGGCACACGUCCCUGAUUAAUUAUGUCAUCAAAUAUCUCCCGACAUUUGGCAAACUUUCGCUCCUUACCCAUGUAAUCUGCCAACUUGGUAGCAAGAGCAAAAUCAAAUCGAUACCAAUGUUGUUGCAUCAUCCAUUUGUAAACCUGAAACACGUAACAAAUGAUUUUUCAAUGACAAUACUUUGGCUAAAAGAAAAAAAAAAAAAAGACAACUUGUUAACAGAAAGACAAGAAUCUUCAAAUCAUUGAGUUCAAGACAAUAAUAUGCAAAACACAUUAAGACACCACAUUUCCUGGGACGGACAUAAGUAACAAAGUGAACUGUUAGCAAACAAAUUAUUUCGAUGUUUCAGUAAUAAAUAUUCGUGCAAAUAGCAAUUAUUUCAAAGCAGAUUGUGGAUAUCUAGUGAUAUAAAUAACAUGAAACAGCAAUCUGCGUUCAGAAAUUAUGCCCAGCAUUCACGACCUGAACAGCCUUUCCAGUUUUAAACUCCCAUGAACUGAAAUCAACUUAAGAACUGUAAAGCAAAAGUCCAAUCCUCAACAAAAGAACUCAAUAAAGAACCCAGCAUGCUAUAACAGAAAAAUCUAAAAUUCUUAUAUGACACCUAAUUUUAUAUAAACCAGUUCACUAUAAAACAAAUAGCAAAUCCAACUGCUACCAGAAAUUGCUAAUAUUUAUUCACUAAUUCACAUUGAUAGAGCACGAACAUAACACCUGCUAGCUCAUAUUAUCAAAUAAACCAUCCACAUUAAAUACCUUCCUGAACAUUCAACACAAUUCAACUUCAAGUAAUCAUUCAAAAAGCAAAGAAAUUUUAUAACAAACAGAGGACAAGUGUUAACUGCAAGUUGCAACAAUAACAUCAUAAAGAAUAAUGAAAUUAUACCCUGAAUCCAGUCUCAUUCUCGCGAAUCCGCAUACAAUGAACUGCCAAAUACGUACCAUCCUCCUGCCUCAACCACUUCUUCUGCGCAUUCAAAAUCCUCACAAGCGUCCCCCCUUUAUGCGACGGCAAUUCUUUACAAAGCCAGGCAAGCUUAGCCCUCCGCCACUGCUCGGGCAGCUCCUCAAGCUCUAUAACCUCCACAACCGGCUCACCCAAGUGCCUCAUUUCACUUCCCGCAGUCCCAACAUCAAAAUCAACAGACCCACUUUCGGCAUCACUGUUUUUAAACAUGUCCCAUUUCUCUUCUUGGGAAGAAUCUUUCUCGCCCGCCAACUGUUCGACGAAAGUACUCUGUGAAGUGGCGGACGAAAGCGGAGCGGAUAAGAAGUGGUAGGACCUCGGUGUUCUUACGGUAGUGACGUGGGGGAAGAAGCUGACGUGGCGCUGGAGGGAGAGGGUGAUUGAAGGAAGUGUUUGGGUUGAGAUUGUGAGCAUGUUUCAGUGUACUUUUGGGCAUAUACGAUGGCCGUUACCCGUCGGCUGUUAUGCUUAUUGCGAUUCGCACAGACAACAACAGAGAUUAAUGUCUAAAUUUUAUAUCCCAGUUUAACCCGUAUUUUUCUCUUUCGGUUCUUCCUUAGAUGUGGACGCUUUUAUGCCAUAUCCAACCACUAAUUUGUUGACACCUUGCACCCAAAUUUCAUAGAAUUAUUGGGAUGACUUAAAAUAUUAAAUUUUAUAAUUAAAUAAAUGUGAAACUGAAAGAUAUAAAAAUCGUUUUCAGUAGAUGUGAAUGCCGAUCAACAUUACUAAAAUUUUAUAUUAAAUUUUUAAGAGUGAUGAUAUAGUUAUAAACUCUUAUAUAAAUUUAUUUUAUAUAAAUUGAUUUAGUAUUAAUUUAUUAAUUAAAUAAAAAUAUAAAAUAAUAAAAAUAGAUCAUGUGGAUUAAUAAAUAUUUAAUUCAAUCAAUUUUAUCAUACCACAUCAAUUUAUAUAAAAUAAAUUUAUAUAAGAGUUUGUAACUAUAUUAUUACUAAAUUUUUAAUGGGUGAGUAAAUAUAUCUUUUUAUAACUGUGAUGUAUAACCCCUUAUUUUAUUUUUCCAACCCCUACUAUCACUUUCAUGUUAAUACUCAUUCUUAUUCUUAUAUACAAUUACUUAAAAUUAAAGAUAAUUAACUUUGAAAUACACCCACAUACUAAUCUAAUUUUACAUGCCUAAUUUCUUUUAAAUGCUCAAACAGUUAUCUGAUUAUUAUUAUUAGUAGUAGUACUACUGCCCCUGCUGCUGCUACUGCCCCAGCCACUGCCACUGCCACUGCCACUGCCACUGCUAUAAUCAUGGAAGAAAAUAUUUUAUAGAGGUUAUUUAGCAGUGGGUGAUCCAAUUAAUGGCGCUUUCUUUUCACAUCAUGGGUUAUGGACCUUAUGGUGGUGGGUGUGGAUGGACAGUGAAAAAACGAUGCCAUAAAGAUGUACAAUUUCAUACUACCAUAAAGAUGCUAGACACUCUGAUAAGAUUUGUAUUCAAGUUUUUUUUUGUUUUUUUAAUAUUUCAGUCGAAUAGAGUCAUUAAAAUUUAAUAUUCUAUUCAAAUAUUAAGAACAAUGUACAAUUUCAUACUACAAUAUUAACCAAAUUGAACAACUUUGAUGUUUCAAAGCAAAGAAUUUUACUAACCAACUGGGCCUUGGCCUAGUGGCCAGGACUCUGCAUUUACAAUUGUGAGCGCAACGGUUCGAGCCCCCGCGACGCAUGUAGGGAUUUAUUUUCUUCUUUAAUCAUUAAGUGAAGACAGUCUUUCCCCUUUCGAAAUGUGAGUGGAGUAGACACCUCUUGAAUAUUAGAGAGGGUAAAAUAUGGACAGUGCUAUACACCCCUCGAAUAUUAGAGAGGAUAAAAUCUGGGCAGUGCUAUAUAAAAAUUAAUGUAAAUUAGACCCAGUAAUUGUCUGAUUAUAAAUAUCAGUUGUAAAUAUCAUAUAAUAUGAGUUGUAAUCUAAGCAUUAGUCUCAUGUAAUUAAAAAAAAAAAAAGCAAAGAAUUUUACUCAUUCAGUAAAAAGAACAAGCACUUGAAAGAUUGUUAACAACUAUGUCCCAAAAUUCAUAAAUUGUAAGUUUUGUAAACACCACCCCAUGCCACGAGAAAGAAGGUGAUGGAGAUCUAGCAUGUUUUACAGGAAAUUAAAACAAUUGAAAUAGACGGCAAGUGUUUAUCAAGUGCUUGUAACAUGGAACCCAUGGCUACUAUGGUGUGAAAAAAAAUAAUAAUAAUGGUUACACCUACACUGAUAUUGAUUUCAAAGGAAAUUAGCACAUCCUCAUGAUCAAAUUCUUAGCGGGAGUCAUCAAAUUUAUAAUAUUUUAUAAACGAAAUCUUUUUUUAUACCUGCCAGCAAUGGACAAACCUUAAUAUUAAGGAAGAUAAAGACUAUAAGAUAUUUUUGGUAAUAUUUUUUUUAAGGGUAUGGUGUAUGAAAAAAAAAAAAAGAUACGAUGAGAGAUAGAAAUUAUUUUAAAAUUUUCAGUGGGAUUAACUAAUGAGUGGGGGAUGAUGAGUAAAAAACUACUGAUAGUCAAAUAUCAUCAUUCUUUUAAUAAAUUUUCAUAAAAAAAGAAUUAAUUAUGUCAUAUCACCAUUCACAAUACGAAAACAUGAUAUUUGAUGUAAGAUAAAAUUUUGAGAUGGCCAUGGACUCUUAUAUAUAUCAAGUGUUAAACAUUAAAAAUAAUUUUCCAAAAUUCAAAACAAAAAUGCCGGUAAAACCUAAAUGAAUUAAUUGACAAUGCAUAGUUGUCGUCCAUUGACUAAUUAUUAUUACAAGCAAGCAAAGCCUUGGGUUCUAGCAAAACAAGAACCUGAAAACAACCCCAUAGUAUUAUACUAUUUUAGUCUAAUUCAAAGAAAAUUACACCUACACUGAUAUUGAUUUUAAAGAAAAUUAGCACGCCCUCACCAUCAAAUUCGUAGUGGGAGUCAUCAAUUUUAUAAUAUUUUAUCAACGAAAUCUUUUUUUUUUUUUUUUUGUAGCUGCCAACAUUGGAUAACCCUUAAUAAGGAAGAUAAAAAUUAAGAUAUUGUUAAUAAUAAUUUUUUAGGUUUUUUUUUUUUUUUUUGUGGUAAGAACUAAGAUGUAUGGAAAAAGGAUAAAAGCUAUAAAAAGAGUAAAGCAUAGACUAGAUGAGUAUGAUGAGAGAUAAAACUUAUUUCAAAAUUUUCAGUGAGGUUAACUAAUAUGUGGAUAUGUAUAAUUCAAAACAAAAAAGCCGGUAAAUCCUAAAUGAAUCUCGUCCAUUGACUAAUUAUUAUUACAAGCAAGCAAAGCCUUGGAUUCUAGCAAAACAAGAAUCUGAAAACAACCCCAUACUAUUAGACUCAUAUUAGUCUUUUUCAAGAAUCUGAAAUUCAAGGCUUAUCCUGGUGAUUGAAGAAAGAAGCAAUUUGCUCGAGCAUAACCCUAGCAUUUUCGGAAUUCGGAUUGAACAAAUGGAACACAUGCGAUUCUCCUUUAGUCUCAACAAUCUCCACGCGGCCUUUCCACCCACUCUCCUUCAACUUCUCGUAGUAAAGCCAUCCCCUGGCAGCCAGCUUAUCCUUCUCCGCAACGAACACCAGCACCCUGGCGCACCCCAUGCUCGCCAGGCUCGAACCCUCCACGCACGGGUUAAUCCACGGAUCAUCGCACCCGUUGGUUUCACUACGAUAACCCAUCCGCCAAAUCUCAUCGAAAAACGCUCUGUCCUUCGCAUCAGUCGUCUCAUUGCCAACCGGCGUGCUCCCCCAGAAGUACGGAUGCACCAAAACAAUCCCAGCGACGUUAAACCCGUCGAGAAUUUCACGACCGUUUCUGAUCCCCAUGUGGUGGGCUAUGUUAGCGCCGGCACUGUCCCCAGCGAAGAACACCCGCUGAAAGUCAGCGUAGCGGUUAAGCCAAUCUUCGGGGCCGCUUCCGUUAACAUGGGAGGCAACCCAUUUGAUUGCAGCCCACGAGUCAUCGUGAGCGCAAGGGACGGGAUUCUCCGGGGCUCUCCGGUAGUCAACCGAGACGGCGACGACGUUACAUGCGGAGACUAAGGCGUUGAGGUAGCUGUGGUAAAAAGGGGAGAAGGGAGUCUCGAUGCAGAAGCCUCCGCCGUGGAUGUAAACAAGAAGGGGGAGUUUGUUAUUGUUAUUAUUGUUAUUCGUGCCUUUCGGGAGGUAAAGCCGAGCGGAUAGAGCAUUGCUGUUGUUGCUAUUUUGAGGAGAAUACACAACGUCUUUGGAAUCAACGUUCGUUUUGGGAUCAAAUGAUGGGGGAACGGUAUCAUUGCCCACGAACCUCUCUACUCUGCCGUCUUUGUAUACUCUUAUCAAAGGAGAGAACUCAUAGGCGAUUUCUGAUGAUGGCUUGGUAGAAUCCAUCGAAGGCGCAGACGGAGACAGGGGAGCAGAAAGGGCUCUUUAAAUAGAGGGGACGACCAAUAUGCCCACCCAGGUUUUGCGAGCUGAGUCGAUAUUUUUACUAUUUUUUAGGAGGGUAAAAUUAGUAGUUCUUAAAUAGGAACAUAAAAUUAAUUAAAUUUUCACACUAUUGUAUAUAUAAGAUUAUGAAGAAUUAAGUGUAAGCGAAUUCAACGCAGGAUCCAAAAUCAAAUGGAGAAAGACAUGCAUACGUUGGGACAGGUCUGAUGGGUCCCAUGAUCCACGACUUUUUUUCUUUUUAAAAUAAAUGUGCGAACGUUAAAAUGGUGGUAUACCGUAUACUGCCGUCUGCAGACUUUUCUGCCGGCUUUGGCAAAAAAAAAAAAAAAACGAAUUUUAAUAAUAGUCGUAAGUGUUUGACUGAAAUAAAAAUUAUUUAAAUGUUUAUAAAUAUAUAUGUAAAAUAUUUUUUUAUUAUGUAUGUAUAAUAAUUAAAAAUUAUAAUAAAUAAUUUUUAUAUUAUUGAUUCUAUAUUUUUAUCUUAUCAUUUCAAUAUGAUUUGCAAUAAUAACAAUCUCUUUAAAUUUAAUGAUUUUAUUUUAUAACUAAAUAAGGAUAUUUUUAAAUUUUUAUAAUAUAUGUGAGAAUAGAUACGAAAUUGUAUUAAGUAAACAUUGAUUCUUAAAAUCAUAUUUUGAAAAAUUAUUCUUUCUCUACUUUUUAAAAUUUGUUGUGGGACUGGAGUACUUUUGUCAUAAUAAUUUUUCAAAAAAAAAAAAUUCAAACACAAAAAUUAACUUUUAGUUUUUUAAAAUCAUCUUUGAACUUUUUAAAAGUAAUCGCAAAUGGGUCGUUAAUUUUGUAAUGCUCACUAUUUUAUAUCUUAAUUUUGUUGGUAUGUAUAUUAUAAGAAUAUUAUUAUGGCCUAGAGGAUUGCUUUUUAAAUUCAGAUUAUUUUAAUGAUAAUAAAAAAAAUUUAUAUUGUGUAAGUAAAAUAAAAUUAAAGAGAAAAAGAAAAUAUAAAUGAGGUUAAUCAUAUUUAUAUAUAUCCUUAAAUGUAUUAUAAUAUAAUAGAGAUUUAUAAGAUUAACGACGGGUGCAGAUGGUCGAACCUGCUGUACCGUACAUCCGCCUUGGCCGUANNNNNNNNNNNNNNNNNNNNNNNNNNNNNNNNNNNNNNAAAAAAAAAAAAAAGAGAGAAAGAAAAACACCGCUAUUUGUGAGAACCAAUCUAUUCAUUUAUAACUUUUAAUAAAUAUACACCUUUUUUGACAAAAAACAGGGAGAACCAAUCUCUUCAAUUAAUAACUUUUAAUCAAUCGACGUUGACAUCCGUUGAAGAGUGGGAUGACGUCAUAUGACCGCCUUUAACAAAACACCGCUAUUUUUUUCCUAUCGUUUAAAAAUACUAUUUUAAAAUUAAAAAUCGUUUUUUUUUUUUUUUAAAUAUUGCAACUAACAAUUGGGCCAUUAACACCAUCAAAAUCUAUUAGAAGCACAAUAGUUAGAUUGAUACAAAACAGAAAUUUUAGGUGUUGUUCUUUUGUGGGAUAUGAAUGACCAUCGCAUCCUAGUUUGUUUUUAUUUUUAUUUUUAUUUUUUAAGACCACAAAAGCUGGGUCUUAUUUUGCUUUCUUUUUCUCUUUCAGCCCACGAAGCAUCCAUCGCAUUUAUGGGCUAACAAGUAAACACGCGAGGUUUCUUCCUCUGACAGCCCAUUUGACAAAAAUCAAUAAUUUCGGGCCCUACUUCUUACAUAAUGUGGGCACAAAAGUGAAAAUGAUCCAUUUAUCUUACAUGCAUGUAAGGUAGGAAUUACCAAGUAAAAAAACUAGCAGCCAACGACUUUUCGGUUGAUAUAACAAUACAAAUGAAUACACCAAUAGUCAUGACUCAUAAGUUCUUAUGAGAUUGUAGGUGUUGUAGUAUAACGACGCGGCUAGGGGUGAGCAUAUUUUAACCGAACCGAUCCAAUCCAAAAAUAUUAUAUAAUUACAUUAUAUUCUAAGUUAAGCAAUCUAACUAAUUAUAUUUAUCAUUUUAUGCAGAUUUUGACAAAUCAAAAGGUAUCAAUUUAGAUUACGGACACAAAAAAAUAACAAAUAAGUUAGGUAAAAUAAUACAAAAGAAGUGGGAUUUUAGCUAAUAAUCUCAAACCGAGAAUCCAAACCGAUCCAGUCGGUUCGGUUUGAAAAAAUUUUAGGUUGAUAUCAGUUUGAAAAUAUUUCAAACUGAUAAGUUUGGAUCGGUUUGAGAAUAUGUCUCAAACCGAUCCAAACUGAAUUUGCCCACCCCUAGACGCGGCCAGCUGCGCUCGAACAAGGAUUUUCUUCUCGUGAGCGACGAGCAGUAUAGCGUCCAUGAGCAGGAGUCUUCUGCUUGACACCGAGGAAAUCCUCUGCUGGGGCCAAGGAAUGAGCAUGAGUUUUCUGCUAGACACCGAGGAUAUCUUCUGCUGGGGUCAAGGCCGGAAGACCCGGUCAAUGGCAGUUGUCAGAACGUGUGCUACUUUUUGAGAGUCCAGGCACAAGGUCCACUCAGCCACAAUCACAACGCUCGAGCAUCCACGAUCGAGGAGUAGGUAAAGUGGUGAACAUGGGUCAUGGAGACCGAAUUCUCAACAGGGCUAUAAAAGGGACCUCCAAAGAAGGUAAAUGGGUUAGACACUAAGAACUAAAAAAAUGGAACUAAAAGAAUUCUUGGGGCAUCCUUGUUUGAGACCUCGGGAAAAUUCUAAUAGAUUUUAGUGUUUUGGAAAUUAUUAGAGAGCCACGAUAUCAGUGGCAAAGUUUUUCCAAAGUAAGCCCAGAUUGCUAACUUGAGCGUCAGAGAGUUUGCGCCGGGAAAAUCUCCGGCUUUCUCUGACUUGUUUUUGUGUGUGUAGGAGUUCGCAGAGGAGAAGCAGCAAGCCUUGUAGUCUUGCUCGUCUAAAGAGAGCAGCAUGAAGUUAUCCCCAAUUAACUACAAAUUCAAGUGUUGAGGAGAGAUUAUAGUCGUGAAUGAGCAGACCCAAAAUCUUGUAUCAAUAGGUUAUUUAGUUGAGAGACAAAAAUUAAGUUGAUGAACAUCCACAUAUUUAUAAUUAUUUCACAAUACUCUCUUUUGGAUAUUCAUCCUACUAAUAAUAUGUCUCGUUAAAAUAUUUGCUAAUAAAAUCCUAUGGAUAAAAGACUAGUGAUGAAAAAAUAGUACAUCGUUGAUUUAUAUCUUAAAGAGGUGCUAACUAACUCAUUAAAACCUUACUAAAAAAAUCCAAUGGACAAAAAUCUAGUGAAGGAAAAUUAAUACGGUGCAUGUAGUCCUUCGUAUGAUUAACUCCCCUUGAUAAACAUGCUCCCCCUCGAAAUGACAUGAGUGCUUCAAUGAUCAAUCAUAUUUUGUAACUAAUACUUCUUUGGUGAAGCAAUCUGCAUGAUCGAUACUAUCCGUUUGAAUCUUGUAUUCAUAAAAAAAAAUUUAGAUAAGCUUUUUGUUUCAUAUUAUUUUCAUGUCUUCAAUUUUAUAUGGAACAAUUACAAGAAUGAAAAAUUGCAAAUAUGCAAUUUAGCGUAAAGUGUUUUGCAAUAUAGUGCGGUACUUCAAGACCAAAAAUAAUAUUUUACUAUAGAGGAAGAAAAUUUUGUGCCAAAAAUUAUUUUUCGUGUCAAAGAUUUUCUUUAUAUAUAUGGGAAGGGAUAUUUGAAAUAUUGAAACAAUAUUCAUAUAAUCCAAUGGUGGAUGGCUUAGCCUCAUUAACUACUAUUUUUACUUUCAAUGCGUACAAUUAGAUUGUAUGUGAUCAAUGGUCAAAUGAUGUCAAAAAUUUAAGUUAAAACAUCAUCUCCUAUAUAUAUAUAUAUUGCAAUCAUUAAUACUUAAAAUGGUGAUCCAUUAUAAUGUUGAUAACUUUAGUCAUGGCAUGUCUAGCACUAAUCCCACAAUUAGCAAAUAAACAUUUUCUUCAAGGAAUGUAAAUAUAUUACUAGUAAGAUAAGACCAAUUAUUUACAUUAAAAACUUAAGAUUUUGUUCAUAUAUAAAGAGAAACAAUGACUUCAGUAAAUGUAUUGACAAUCUCAAUUUUCUACUACAAGAGCAUAAAUGAGCAAUAAAAUAUUUACACAUGUUCACUUGUUCUCUUUAUAAAUAUAUUCUUGAUGAUUGCGAAUUUCUCGCUUCACUUGUUGACCAAAUGAAAUUUCUUAUUGGCAUAUCCAGCUCUUUGAGGAUUCUUUGGGCUGGAAGAGUUCAGAAAGAAUUAGCAAGGAUGCUUGCUUUUCUUUCAUAGAUGUAUAAACUAGAAAAUCAUAUGAACUUUUGUUCAAUCUUUUGGUGGUUGCAUAUUUUCUUUCAAUUGCGUCAAGGAAACAAAUUAUCCAGUUGGAUAUUCAAUUUUGAUUCCUUUAAAGAGAUAAAAUAAAUUAUUAUUUUAAUUCAAUCCUUGAACUUUUCAUAUAUGAAGUUAAUGUUCCUUCAAAUUAUUUCAAAGAAUAAGAUCUAUUUUUCAUCAAAUAUCUAAAUUUUUCCUCCUUCAGGGACAUAAUAUAUGAUGAAGAACUCUUUAUGGACAAGAUGCUGAAUAGAAUAUCAUAAUUUUUGUAUAGUUCUUUAGGAGCAUAUACUUAAAGAAAAAUUUCAUUACAUAUAGUGAUAGCAAUUGAAUAUUAUAAUAAGAAGUAUCAAAUAAUAACAAUAUCAAUGAACUGAGCAUUUGAUAAAUAUUGCAAUAAUAAAUGAAGUAACGAACAAAUUCAUAGAUCCAUAAAUAUGAUUUUAGACAAAAUCUAAAUUGCACAAUUCAUACGUUUAUGAUUAAGGUCAAAAGAGAGAAGUUUAUCAUACUACCUUUUUAGUUAGAAACUCGUACUAAUAACAUGCUAAAUUAUUUAUCAAUUAGAAAUAUAAUAUAGUAAAAAAAAUAGAGAAAACAAAUAAAAGACGCAAUAGUUUAUAGAAGAAUUUUAUUCAAUAUCAAAUAUAUAAAAACAGGAGAUGACCCAUCCUUUUAUAGCCACACAACCAUACAAAUAAAGUAAAUAAUUAAUAAAGAGAUGCAUAAUUAGUUAUAAGUUUUUAUGAGAUGGUGAGAGUUGUAGAAUAUGAAGAGUUGUUUGGUUGAAGGAUAAAAGGUUACUUUGAUAAAUAUUUACAUAAUUAUAAUUAUUUCAUAGUAAAUCUUAAUUUGUAUUUAAUUAUAUAUUUCGCUCGUUUAUUGGAUGAUGAAUUUUAUAACCAAUAAAAUUACUAAAUACCAACUAAUUGAUAAAUACCACAUCGAUUACGAUACAAAUUAGAGUUCGAAUAUUAAGAUGUCUAACAUUAUUCAUCACUCUAGAUUAAUUGUCUUGAAACAUUGACACAUUCACUCAAUGUAGAGAAAGAAAACUUACAUGACUUUUUGGCAAUAAUAUUGACAUUAUUGCCAUACGAGGUUUCUUCCUCUAACAGCCCAUUUGACAAAAAUCAACAAUUUCAGGCCCUACUUCUUAAAGAAUGCGGACACAAAAGCAGCCAACUUAAUGGCAAUAAUAUUGAUUCAUUCGUGGGAUUAAUUAAGGAAGCACAAAGAAUAGUCUUUGCCAUGCAGCCAUGCCCAUGGUGGUUCAGUUUCCUAUAUGUGAGGGCAUCACUUUCCAGCAAAUCCAAUAAUUUGGUGCACCCUUUUGCCUACAAUAUUUGGACAUUUUAAUUUCAUCAUCGAAGUUAGCAUGAAAAUGACAUAUUUUAAACUAAUUGUUUGGCACAAUAAACCAAUUACAAGUUUCCCAUUUUGAUGACCUUUCGUUCUCCGUUAGUCCUCUCUUCCACCGAAUGAGGAAAAUAAUUGAUGUUCGAUUAUUUUUAUUUGUGUCUAAAUCUCUAGACCUUUCUAGUAAUGUCCAUUGCCAAUCAACUUUCACAAAUGACGUUAGAGAAGAGAGAAAAAAAAAAAAAAAACACUUUCAUAUUUUGAAUCCUGAAAAUUAAUGUAAAGAUGAUAGAGUGGGCGCAUGGUAAAUAAUAUAAUCGAAAGUCUUCAUACAAAACUAUGAUAUUAUAUUUGCUAGUUAACAAUUUUAUUAUUAUAUUUAACACCAACUUGAGCAGCAUUAAUAAAACUAACAAAUUCAGCUUUGAGUUUCUAUGGCUACAAAUGCAUGGUCAUAAAAGCGGCCCCAAAAAUUGUGAUGCUCAAAUUAUUACCACAUAAAAAAUUCAUAUGAAGAUGAUUUCAUACAGUUGACCUAGUUGUUUUGGAUAAGUUGCACUUAUACCAACUACCAAGAUAUUAAAGAAACCCCCAAAAAAAAAAAAAAAAAGGAACCAAAAGUAAUUAUUUUCUUUCAAUAAUUCAGUGACCAUUCUUCCUUUGUUUUGAACUUUGAAGGAUCUGAUUUGCAGUCUCAGUUUGCUUGGUGUUAUCCCAACAAAUUUCAAAUCAUGCAAACAUUGGCUUACUUAUAUUUUUGGGUGAUGGAGUUUGACAAUUUUAGCAAAUUUUUAAUAAUUGAAAUGUCUUUGUUCACAUUCGUGAAAAAAAAUUUCUUUGGAGAAGUUAUGAAAAUAGACAAAAAUUUGGGGGCUAGUUCUAAAUUUAGCCAACUUUCUAUUUUCCUUUCUUUUAUCCCCCAGGAAAAAAAAAUGUAGCGGGCAAAAAUUCUCUCCAAAGAGAGAAUUCUUUUAUUUUUCUCUAAAAAAAAUGAUAAUUCAUUUCUUUCAUUAUCUUUUUAUUUCCCUCUUAGUCAAAUUUCAAUGUCAUUAAAGUAGUUUAUCUAAUAAAUAUCAAUAGGAAGAGCAAGAAUGAAAAAAAAAAAAUUUAAUGCUUCAUCUUUGUAGUGAGCACUUAAUGUGUGUUUAAAUAAUAACACGUAAAUUUUAAGUUUGUGCUAAAUGAUAUUAUUGCGUUCACUAAGAAUCUAUUAACGCUUUCAAUAUCAUACGUUGGAGAGAGUAAUUUAGGAUAUUGUAGUAAAAAUUUUAAAACAAGACUAUUCAAUAAUAUUUCUAUCUACGAUGGGAAUUUUUUUUUUUUAUGUUGUAUAAGUAUGAGAAAUAAUAACGGGCUAAAAUUAUACAGAUUGCUUUCAAAGGUUAUUUCCU
Molecule: long non-coding RNA, 42639 nt
Filed under: Citrus sinensis (sweet orange)
Lineage: Eukaryota; Viridiplantae; Streptophyta; Magnoliopsida; Sapindales; Rutaceae
Description: long non-coding RNA (CSIN_LNC002419)
Source: RNAcentral